UUUUUUGGGGAUAUUUCAGGUGGGAGAAGCCAGGACAUAGUCCUUUGUAUGGGUAUGAUUUUUGGUACCAACCUCGGCACAAGACCAUGAUCAGCACAUCUUGGGGAGCACCUAAAGCCUUCUCUAAAGGUUUCGAUCUCCAGCAUGUUGCUGAUGGCUUGUACGGGAGUCACCUACAUGUUUAUAGUUGGCCAGGUGGUGAAAUGAAACAAUUGAUUGAUCUUGGACCGACUGGUAUGUUACCUUUGGAGAUUAGAUUCUUGCAUGAACCAUCUAAAGAUACAGGGUUUGUUGGGAGUGCCUUGUCAAGUAAUAU
Non-coding RNA from Camelina sativa (false flax), 316 nucleotides. The record is from RefSeq and is a predicted model, not a curated record. Lineage: Eukaryota; Viridiplantae; Streptophyta; Magnoliopsida; Brassicales; Brassicaceae.